AGUGAACGCUGGCGGCAGGCCUAACACAUGCAAGUCGAGCGGCAGCGGGUCCUUCGGGAUGCCGGCGAGCGGCGGACGGGUGAGGAAUACAUCGGAAUCUGCCCUGUCGUGGGGGAUAACCUAGGGAAACUUAGGCUAAUACCGCAUACGACCUACGGGUGAAAGCGGGGGAUAGCAAGACCUCGCGCGACAGGAUGAGCGGAUGGCCGGUUGGCUGGUUGGCGGGGUAAAGGCCCACCAAGGCGACGAUCGGUAGCUGGUCUGAGAGGAUGAUCAGCCGCACGGGGCCUGGGACCCGGCCCGGCCCCCUCCGGGAGGCAGCGGUGGGGAUUUUUGGCCAUUGGGCGAAGGCCUGUUCCAGCCAUGCGGCGUGGGUGAAGAAGGCCUUCGGGUGGUAAAGCCCUUUUGUCCGGGAAGAAAUCGUCUGGGCUAAUACCCCGGGCGGAUGCCGGUACCGAAAGAAUAAGCACCGCCUACCUUCGG
RNAcentral lists this ribosomal RNA (483 nucleotides) under uncultured bacterium. RNAcentral describes it as "partial 16S ribosomal RNA". It matches the Rfam family "Bacterial small subunit ribosomal RNA", at positions 28 to 506 of the family's 1533-position model. The record is from RNAcentral.